CUUAUCAACCUCUAUUCCCUCU
Molecule: small nuclear RNA, 22 nt
Filed under: Arabidopsis thaliana (thale cress)
Lineage: Eukaryota; Viridiplantae; Streptophyta; Magnoliopsida; Brassicales; Brassicaceae
Description: snRNA_15626
Source: RNAcentral